GCCUGGGCAGGGCCAGAGUGGGUGUGAGCAGCAAACUGAUCCUGGUGAAGGAAGGAAGCUGGGAGUCUGGAACCAUGGCAAUCCCAGCACAGAGGGAACAAUCGCUUCAGCUGCCCACUGGAAUGAACCAUGCGCUUCUUCUGCCGAGACCUCAACAGACACACUAGGGAGCAGCCGACCCACAGGCCACCAAGCCAGGGAGGGCGGGAGGAGCGGAGCCAGGGAGGGUACUGCAUGGAGAACAUUCCAGGAGCCCAAACCAUUCCAAGUGGCUGCUGGCCGCCGAGAGUCACGGAACACAGAGAGACUCCUCAGCCGGGGGCCUACCAGCUCUUCACCCACAUUCUCAAGUACUCUGCCUCACUGGAAAGAAGACACUCUGGCUGAAGGCAAGAGGCCAGCAUGGCCCACCAUAAGAAGAUGAAGACAUGCGGUGGGGAGAAGGCUUCUGUGGUGUAGCCACCUGCCUAACAUGUGCAAAGCCCUGGGUUCAAUCCAGCCCACAAUACACACAUGCAUGCAUAUACAUACAUACAUACAUACAUACAUACAUACAUACAUACAUACAUACAUACAUACAAUACUAAAAACGUGGGUGGUAGAGGAAAAAAAAAGUAAGGAAACUCCUUGAGCCCCAGAUCUAGAGCUAGCACUAGGAUUGGGCCACAUGUAGCCCCCUCCAAGCCCCCAAGCACCCUCCAUACCUCCGCUCAGCUCUUCGUCACGUGAGAUCUCUGCUCUCCCCAGGUACCUCACCCAUCCUUAGUCCCUGGUGCAUGGCGGGUGCUGGACAACUCUGUACCAGGUCACCUGUUCUGAUGCCCCCGAAACACCAUCACCAAGAAUCCCAGAGGCAUCAGAGUCCCCAGAGUCCAAUGUCGUCCUUUAUGCCAAUCUGUCCUCAUGGAAGCCCUGAGACAAACAGAAGCUGGCACGGAAAGCCAUCCUAAAGUCCACCGUGGCAAGCUCCCCACCACCACCACCACCGCCGCCGCCGCCGCCCGGGAAAGGACUCUCUUCAGAUGUUCAGGGUCCCCUUGUACUGUGUGUGCACACCAGAAGGGACAGUCCCCCACAUGCUGAAACGACACAGAUUCUCAACUCUGCCCCUGAUCCCUAUGAGCUUCCUAAGUCACCUAACCACCACCACCACCCCUUACUGGGAAAAUGGAGUCCAUACCACCAUCCACUCAGCUCUUAGGAUUAGUAAAAAAAAAAAAUAAUAAUAAUGCGACAGUGGCCCCCACAUGGCCUGGCUCUUGCCUGUUUUAACUUACUCCAGACCACAUGCACAGACACACGUGCACUGGCUCUGUGCGCAUGUCUCACUGGUUUUUAAGUUUCUAGGGGGAAAUAAAUAAGCUGGGAACUGGAAGAGACUGGCUUAGGGGGUGACGUGCUUGCUACUCAAGAGUGAGAGCCUGAGUUUGGAUCCCCACAUGAAAUCUGGGAGUAAUGGCAUGUGUCUGUAACCCCAGCACUGAGGGAGAAGGGGGAUAUGGACAGGAGGAUCCCUGAAGCUUAACCAGCCAGCUUAACCAAAAUGAUGAGCUCCGUGUUCAGCAAGAGACCUUGUCCCCCAAAAUAAGGUGGAGAGCAAUAAAGGAAACCACCCCACAUUAACCUCUGACCUUCACACACACACACACACACACACACACACACACACACACACACACACUACAACAUCCGAGCCCAGACCCCAUGUACGUCAUCACCCUCUCGUCUCUGUUUUCUACCCAGGUUCCACUGGUUAAUGUCACCUCACAUGCAUGUUCACCCCCACAGUUACUUCUUUAUCCUAAGGUCUCACAAAGCUCUGUGCCCUCCCUCCCUCCCACCCGCUCCGUGCAUAAUUCUUACUCCUAUUUAUGAAAAUGUUCGUGAGCUGAAGAUACAUAUCUCAUAAGCCUAUUAUCUCCCCAGAGAGGGCCUGCUGCCUGGUACGUAACAGGCCCACAGCAUCAUGACUGACUGACUCGAAGCGUCAAUGAAGAAAAGAAUGCACGAAUACAUUUAGUCCAGUGGCUCGAACAGUGCAAACAUCCCUCAAAUUCCUCCU
Long non-coding RNA from Peromyscus maniculatus bairdii (prairie deer mouse), 2062 nucleotides. RefSeq lists it as uncharacterized. The record is from RefSeq and is a predicted model, not a curated record. Lineage: Eukaryota; Metazoa; Chordata; Mammalia; Rodentia; Cricetidae.